GGCUAGCGAUGCGCCAAUGACAAAUCUUGAGUGAUAAAUCGUGAGUUAGUCUUCAAUAAUAAUUAUCUUUUCAUGUUGUUACUGUGCAGUCGUUAAAAACGAGGAAACUUUUCAAUAAUAAAAUAUACCGGAUAGGAACGGAAUUUGGAAAAGGUGAGGAUCAGGAGAGGAAUAAUAAUAAAAUAAUAAUAAAAAGAGGAAGUUAAAUUUUAAUAUCAUUAGUAUUAAUAAACAUACUUAAUAAACGAUAGACUGAAGGAUUAUUUGAAGAUAAAAGGAUCUGGAUAGAAGUAGGAAAAGGAAUGUGUAAAUGUGUAAGUCCCUGAAAAAGUUGAGCAUUAUCAUAUUUAGGACAAUUCAGGAAGAUGUGAUCCACAUCCUCCACCUCACCACACUCACAUAAAGCACUGUCCACUAUAUGAAAUUUAGCUAGAUGAGCAGACGUACAAACGUGACCUAAUCUCAUACGAGUCAGGAUGCACGAUGCCGUCUUGCCCAACAGCAACCGCGAGAACCAGGGUUUUGCAGGAAUUUCACGUUGGAUAGAUGCGAAAUAUUUUCCUUUUGUUUGAGAACUGACAGACCACACUUCCCUCCACGAAUCACGUAGAUACACUCUGGGUAGAGCAAGAAGGUCAUGAGGGUAGAUUUUAUAGUAAGCCAUAUCUCCACAAUCAAUGGCGUCAUUAGCAAGCCUAUCAGCCUGUUCGUUUCCACGGAUACCCCUAUGUCCCGGAAUCCAGGCAAAAAUAAUCGAUAAUCCCUUUGCAGCACACUGAACAAUCAUGUUUCUGGUUUCUAUUAUCAAUGGACUAAUAAGUUUUGUUUUAAAUAAAAAUUUAGAUAGAGAUUGUAGAGCGCUCAUUGAGUCUGAAAAGAUUAUAGUUUUCCUAAGUUUUGCUAAAAGUACAUACUCAACCGCUUUAUACAGACCAAAAACUUCACCAGUAAAAACAGAACUCUCAGGAGGUAAUUUAAUCUUUUGAACUAUAUCGUAUUGUGAGUGAUAUAUGCCAACACCUACUUUAUUAUCUGUGGAUCGUUUGGACGCAUCACUAAAAACAUGAUGCCAACUGUCAGUGCUAUUGUCAAAUUCCGUGUCUAGAACGAAAUUGAAAACAUUGGAUGCCUCAAAAGUUUGUUUAGUUAUACCCAAGUUUAAACGAACAUCAGGUUUAUAAACAAGGGAUUCAUAGUUUGAGGUGUAAAGAGGGAAGCAUAUUGAGUUGUGAAUAGGCGUAUCAAUUGCCAGUAAUUUUUGAAAACUGUUAAUUAAACAAGGAGUGCAUUUAUGAGUCCAGUAACUUGAGGAGUUGACUUCUUCAGAGAGGAUUUUUAGCUUGGUUAAAAGUGGAUGGUCACCUAGUUGUAAACAACGGUAUAAAUAACUAUCUGAAAGAAACUGCCGCCUCAGUUGUAAAGGGGGUUCAACACACUCGACUUGCAUUGCAUUAAUAGGGCUAGUCUUCAUUGCGCCCAGAACAAUCCUUAAAGCUACCGAUUGAAUUUUAUCUAGUUUAUUUAAAGCAGCAGCACUACAUGGUUCCAGCAAAAAAGAUCCAUAAUCAAUCACACUCCUGAUUAGUGCAUUAUAAAUGAUUCUCAGAGAAGUAGGAUGAGCGCCCCACCAUACACCUCUGAGGCAUUUAAUAAUAUUAAGAUUCCUUUCACAUUUAGCCUCAAUAUAAUUGCAAUGUGGGAUACCAGUAAGUUUGGAAUCCAGUAUAACUCCUAAAAACUUACAUUGUAAACUUACAGGCAUGGGGAUAUUAUCAUAGAAAACAUUAAUUUCAGGGGGAGAUCUCAUACGAGAAAAAAGCACUACAUUGCUUUUGGAAACGGAUAAUUCUAAGCCAUUAUCAUUCAGCCAACCCUUCAAUAAACCAAGAGAUGUUGUAAGUGUGUUACAUAAAUUAGAAACAGAUUUACCUGAACAAUACAAUAAAAGAUCAUCUGCAUACUGUAAAAUGUUAACUGAGUUACUUAAGGAAUCCUCUAAAUCAUAAGUAUAUACAUUAUAUAGUAAAGGGCUCAGCACUGAGCCUUGAGGUAAGCCCUGCCAAACAACUCUAGAUAUCUGGGACCCAUCUAGUGUAACACUUAUAGAUCUCUCUGACAGCAUUCUAAUAAUAAAUGAAGUGAGCAUUUCCGGAACAUUUAAUGAUUUUAAUUUCUUAAGAAGAAUAGAAAUAACAACAUUAUCAUAGGCACCUUUAAUGUCUAAAAAAGCAGAGAGGAUGGAUUCAUUUUUUGAAAAUGCCAGUCUAAUGUCAGUCAUAAACAGACUCAAACUAUCAGAAGUACUUCUGCCCUUUCUGAAGCCGAACUGACUUUCAGAGAGCAAUCUAUUGCUUUCUAAAUACCAUUCUAGCCUAUUUUUGACUAAAUGUUCUGCCAAUUUGGCCAGUACAGAAGAUAAAACAACAGGUCGGUAAGAAGAAGCGUCAGAAGGAGGUUUCUUUGGUUUUAAGAUAGGUAUUACUAACUGGGACCUCCAUGAGAGAGGAAUGUUGCCAGACAACAUAAUAGAAUUUAUAAUAUUUAAGAAGUAAUUUAAAGUUUUAUCACUGCUGUUACAGAAAAAGGAAUAGGGUAUACCGUCUUGACCGGGUGACGUGUCAAUUAAACUUGUUAAAAUGCCUUUAAUUUCAGACAUGGAAAAAGGUGAAUUUAAUCCUGAUAAAUUAUUAGAAAUUGAAGUUGGCAAGCACUGAAUUUGUAACUCAGGAACUGAAGAAGGAGCUAGAUUAUCUAGGAAUUGUUCAGCUAGCUCUGAAGAUAAAGAGCCUCUAGAUGAUGGAUUAACACCCAUCCUGAAUCUCCUAACGCUUUGCCAAACAACAGAAACAUUAACAUCUGGACAAAUAUUAUUACAGAAUCUUCUCCACCCCUCAAACUUCUUCUUUUUCAAAAAUUUACGAGUGUCCCGUGCCACUUGACAGUAAAGCUCAUAGUUCACAGAUGUCAUUAAACAGGAAUAAACCCUUUCUGCUUCCCUCCUUCUUUUUAUAGCCUCUGUGCACUCGUUGUCCCACCAAGGUGGACAGGGGAUUUUUCUGGAGCCGCCCACUUUAAUUGGGAAUAAAGCAUCUGCAACCUCAAUCAUGACUUUGACAAGAGCCUCAGAGCAAGCCAUCUCAUUACCCAUACAGACAGAAGGGAGGUUUGAAACUUUACUGUCAACUUGCUGACUAAAUGCAGACCAAUCACUAGGUUUUUUAUCAGCAGCACUUCUACAAUUCCACUGUAGGAGUACCUGAUCCAUUAUUGGGAUUGAUAGACACAGUGUUUUCAAUUAGUUGGGCAACGUGGGACGGUAUAGAAUUGAGCAGAACCAUUUGGUGAAGAUAGAGGUAUAUCAUAAUCUUUUAUUAGAGAUGCAUGUGCAGCCCGGUCAUACCCAGCCGAAGGCGUAGGAGGAGCACGAGGCUUAAGGAAAACUGUUUUUUUAUAUGAGCUGGAAGAUGGGGACAAUCGAGCUGCUGGGUUAGCAGCCUCAUCUUGAGAUUGUUUAUGUUGCGAAGUUCUAAGAACGUCAGCAAAAGAUUUGGAGACAACGGGGUGUAAUUUGGAAGCCUCUAAAUAUGAGAUGCAGUUUUGAGCCAUUGACACUUUGAUAUUUUUUUGUCGGGAAAAUUCAGGACAAGCCUUACUAGUGGCAAAAUGAUAACCAGAACAAAGACAGCAUGAUCCAUCCUCUUGUUCUACUGAACAAGAUUCGGCAGUGUGACCUUGCCCACAUUUAUAACAGCGAGGCUUGGAGCGGCAUUGAGCCUUUGUAUGACCAAAACGGCAGCAGCUGUAACAUUGAAUGGUUGGAUAAAUGUACAAGUCGACAGUCAAUGGAGUAUAGCACAUAAACACACGUUUUGGUAGUACUUGUCCAUCGAAAGUUAAAACAACUGUUUCAGUGUUAGUAAAUUCUGGAGACCCAUUUAUAAUUUUUUUACUUUUAAU
This 3957-nucleotide unclassified non-coding RNA is filed under the name Pectinophora gossypiella (pink bollworm). Its description in RNAcentral is "uncharacterized LOC126370487". The record is from RNAcentral. Lineage: Eukaryota; Metazoa; Arthropoda; Insecta; Lepidoptera; Gelechiidae.